Solanum stenotomum is the source of this 4423-nucleotide long non-coding RNA. RefSeq lists it as uncharacterized. The transcript has 3 exons. Lineage: Eukaryota; Viridiplantae; Streptophyta; Magnoliopsida; Solanales; Solanaceae. The record is from RefSeq and is a predicted model, not a curated record.
AAGAAACAUCCAGACAGGCAGAUACAAUACUCAAUAGCAUUUCUUUUAGCUUCUGCGUUUCUCUCUCUUGGCUGAUCAGUUCUUCCAUGGUGACCAAGGUGUGAACAUUUUCAUUUACUUUGAAGAGAAGGGAAGUUGAUGAAGCUUCAUACCCAAAAACCAAUAUUAAUUCCUCAGAGAAACGAUUAUACUACAGGUACACCUAGCUUAAUUCUAUAGUAAAAAAUAGAAUAAUAAAAGUAUAUGUUACUAUGUGUUUGAUGUAUAAAUUGUUGGUUUUUUUGUUGAAAAAAUUAUUUUUUCUUUUUACGGGUGGUGAUUUGUUAUAUGAUCACAUUUUCGUUUCUCCAUCCAAAUGAUCAUGGAGUUCUACUUCACAUGCAAAUGUGGAAAAUAGAGUGGACAUCCUAGAGAAUGAAGUAGGUAUCAUCGAAUGUGAGAAGGUCCCAGGUUGCCGUACCGAAUGGAGGAACACAUGUCCCUUGGCAGCUUAGCUGUCAACUAUGUGGCUAUUUCCAAAGCUCUGCAGACAUCACCAUCAGUUGUUGUUGGUGGAUUGAUUGUCGAUUAUCCUAUUUGUGCAAUAUACUUCACAACAUUGUUUGCAUUGGUUUCUUAAAUAUCAACUGAGGCUACUCAAUCCGUCACUGAUAUGUAAACCUUGAACUUGUCUUUUACAACAUGUCAAUUAAUGCAAAGUUGCUAUAUACUAGAGAGAGAUUACAGAGAAACAUAUAAAGAAAGGCUAGGACAACAUAAAUUGAUCAAUUUGAUGUUUGACAUGAGGAAAGAGAGACAAUAAUAAGCUGCAAGUAUUAUUGAACAUUGACUUGGAAUAGGGUGUUUGGUUCCUUUUUUUUUUUAUUUUGAAUACAACUACACCACAGAGUUAGUCGUUGAAUGGACAUUUGAUGACCUUAUUUGACAAGAAGUGAGGUGAUUAAGAAUCUAUGAUUAGGAUUGAUAUUUAGGCUAAUUAUUUAGUAACUUCUAUGUCAAAAGCAUGUGGAGGUAGUUAUGCUAUCAACUUGGACCAUUAAUUCAAAAGAGUUGGUGUAGUUUAUUCUAGGCAAGAUCAUGAUUUCUAGAUAUCCAAUUAUAUGAAGAAAAGGAAUUACAAUCCAUACCGUUGAACCUAUAAUCGAGCCGCCAUUAACGAAUGAUAAUCAACAAAUCAAUAAGCGGUGACCAAUAUCUUAUUGGUUCAUUUAUCUAUUUAGCAUAUUUAUAAGCCAAUAAUCGAUAUGUUUAACGGAUAACAUUUGAAACUGAAUCUCACAACAAGUUGCCCUAGGUGACAAGAUAAAGUCUUUUACCAUCAGUAGGUUUAGACAUCUAUGAUAGAUUAUUCUAAGUUGGUGUUAUUAUAGACAAAAGAGCAUUAAAUUGAAUUUCGUUUUGCUUCUUAGGAGGAAGAAUAUACAAAUUCUGAGUGAAAAGUUUAUGCAUGCUUGUAUUUUGUAUUUUGCCAUCCUGUCGACAUUUUCAGUCUUACUGAAAGCAAAAAAUUUCAUUCCAUGAGAUGUGCAUAUUUUUAAGCACCAACAGCUAGCAUGAAUAUUGCCUUGUUGACACUAAGGUUGAGAUAAAGUAGUUGGUGAAGUCUGUUGUAUAGCCAUUUCUAUGAUUUUCAGGAAUUUGAAGAAGGAAGGAUCAUUAAACAUCCAGCGAACAACCUUCUUAGACUUUGAACUUCUUGAUGAAGUAUAGUUCCCUUUCAAUUUUCCGCAUCAACUGAUGGUCUUUUAAUUUGUAUAUGUUGUGCCUCAACGUAUUCUUGUGCCUAAGAUAAUUCUCACUAUGAUUGUUGAUGAAGGAAGAGUUUAAGAAGCCUGAGCUAAAACAUAUUACUCAGUUAAGAUUGUCCUACUGCUCAUCCUCUCUUUGUUAGUUUAAGAGUAUGUUUUAUAUUUUCGUUUGUGUGGUGUUUUCUUUGUACUUUUAUGCUCAAACGAAAUACAAAGUUCUAUCUAUAGUCUGCAAGAUACGUUAGGACAGAACUCUUUUGCUUUCAACCUAAGUUGUUUGGAUUUGGGUGUGGGUGUUGAUACUGAUAAGAAUUUAGAGGUCCGAUUCUUCAUGAUCUUAAUUUUCAUGAUUUGGGGGUACAGAUCCAAAACUGAUACUUGGACUAUGAUUUGGUGGUAGAAAAUGUAGUGGUUGAAAGAACUUUCUGCUAUUUGAAUAAAUCAAAUACUAGGUAAACUAUCUACACUUCUAUUUAUUUUGACAUGACAUUUUUUCUAUAUACAUUCUCAUAAAUAUAGUAAUUUCUUGUCUUGAUGACAACACAAUGUUAUGUGACAUGUCCUAAUGUACCAAACAAGUAGUUGGUAUGUAGUAGACACAUCUUCUUUCUGUUGUUUUAUGUAAUAAGUUUUUAUUAACUAUGCCUCUAAAAUUUAAGAUCAUAUUUUGAUUAAAUUUCAUAGCAAAACAAUACUUGAAGAUACAUUUUCAAAAAUUACUCCCAAAAUCUAUGGUCAAAUGCUAGCUUAAUCUACAGUUUUACCAAAUAUAAGCUUGGUGGUAGCUUUCCAAGCUUGUGAAACUCAUUCAUUAAGAUAGUCACCCAGUUAAAAACAAAUCAAUUUGCAAAAAGUUUUACUAAGACAACAUUUGGCUUCUGCUAAUAGAUUAACUGUUGUGGAGUGUGUUUAUUAUUUCUUCUUUUAUCAUACGUUUACUGAUAAGCCUUAUCAGGAUGAUGUAUGUCAUGCAAACCAGCUAUUGAGAAAAGGUGGUCUCAAAGACAAAAAUAUUAUUGUCUUCAUGUAUUAUGACAUUGAUUACAGUGAAGAGUGUCCAGGACCAGGAGUUAUCAUCAAUAGUUCUGCUGGUGAGGAUGUUUACGAAGGAGUUCCUAAGGUAAGUGUUUUUCUUCAUCGUUUAUUAUAUAUCUAAAUUAUACUCCUGUAUCGUGUGCUAUCUCUUGAAGCAUGAUUACACUAGAGAUGAUGCUAAUGUGGACAACUUUUUAGUUGUUCUCCUUAGCAACAAAACUACUCUUACUAGGUGUCGGCAAGGUGGUGAAUAGUGGUCAAAAUGAUCAUAUUUUCAUAUUCUAUAGCGAUCAUGGUGUCCCUGGGUUAUUUGGUAAGUAUCUUAGUUAUGCCUCUUUUGGUUGCUGCUUUGCUUUCUAUAUCUUAUGCUUUUAUACUAAUUUCGUCAUGAAAUUUUUGAAAACUUGCAUCUGAGUUUCAACUCAAUAAUUUCACGUCUAUUGAAUAUUAAUAACCAUUGUCUCACUGCUUUCUAUUGUUUGAGAAAAAGAUGAUAUCUAUUCGUUCUUUAUCAUAUAUAAAAGAUUUAUCAUAGGUAUAUGUUAACUGAAGUACUGAACAUAUAUAAUUUGAGAUUUUUUUUAAAAAAAACUGGUAAUGUUAAUAAUCUGAAAUUUUAAGUAGUAUUCUGUAUUGAAGUUUAGAAUAAGGAAUGUGGAGACGUGGUCUGCAGGUCUAAUAUUCAAUGAGUACAUAGGUAUGUUAAGUCCACUUUUUCCCCGACAUACAUUCUCUUCUCAUAAACUUGAAUUAGGGAUCACCUUUUUUGUGAUGAAUGGGUGAGUAUUAUAAAUAUUAGAUAAGCAUUAAUGUAAAUAAAAGAGGUUUACAUAGUUGUAUCAGCUGAUUAAACAACAAAAAUGCAAAUUUCUAUGCAAGAAUUUUGACUCCAUACAUGGCGUUGGUGGUUUUUCUAAUUGCAAUCUUAUCCAUGGCAAGUUAUCAUUUAACAAUUAUAUUGUCCAGUGAUCAUCUUUCUCAACCGAGUAAUUCAGAAAUCUUUAUUUUUACACGCGAUUCACCUAAAAAAAAUAUAUGAUUGUCACCAGUACUCACUUUUAUCUAAUAUGUCUUCAUGCAUAAUAUAUUCCUAUGGAAAUGUCUUCAAAGAUUUUGCUGCAAGAAUAUCACAAAUAAAGUGAAGGCAUUGGAAACAAAGAUGGGCUCUAUUUUCAUAAGACCUCAAAGGCUAUUGUGAGCACAAACAAAUUCAUUGUACAAGUUUCUUUGGAUUGCACCACAAUUUAGGCUUCUGAAAUACAUCAAACUACGGUGAGUGUGUGAUUAUUGAUUUGUUGGACACUGAAAUAUACCUGAAGAUCCCUCAGUUAAAGAUAAAAGAAUGCAUUCUCUACCUGCCGAAUGAAAGGGAGGGUGGGCGUUUAAAUUCAUGGCAUGUAACAAGAAGCUCAUGGAGCAAGAGAGUAUUUUCUGUUUGAUGAUUGGACACCAUUAGAUUAGAAUGGGCAUGAUAUACGUACUUCAAGCAUGGCUUAUUUUUUGAGUUCCAAGUUGUUUUACCUCCAUUAAGUUUUAUAUGUUUACUUUGAAUAUAUAUAGUAUGUGUUUGAGUAUAUACUUAUGCUGUAAGGAUAAUAUCUAUUCAUAAUAGAAGGCUUAAACUAAAGAAAUACUUUGCA